Long non-coding RNA from Notolabrus celidotus (New Zealand spotty), 625 nucleotides. RefSeq lists it as uncharacterized. The record is from RefSeq and is a predicted model, not a curated record. The transcript has 2 exons. NCBI's taxonomy places the organism in Eukaryota, Metazoa, Chordata, Actinopteri, Labriformes, Labridae.
CACCCCAGCCGAAGACAUGGCCUUAUCACAAAAUAAAGGCAGGCCAGUUUUGGAGGGGAUCCUUGGGGGGACAGAAACAAAUGCAUGUCCCUCCCAAGAGGCUAACCGCUUCAUACAAGUUUCUGGCAGCACUAUCUCCUUGCUGGAGCCACCAAUGCCAGAUGAUGAUGAUGAUGAUGAUGAUCCAGUGAGUACACUGUAGGCCUGCCGUGAUCCCUGAUGACGACAGUGGUCGGCUGGUCAGGGACCAAUAUGUGUUGAAUUACUUUAGUUAACAUGCUUUAAAUUUCAGUUAUAUAUGGCCUGCAGUGGCAGAGACAUAUAUAUAUUCAAAUUUGAAUUAAUUUGACCUCUUAUAAUUGCACUGUAUAUUGUGUAUACAAGCUUGUAGGGAGGCUACUGCAUGUAUUAAUUUGUCUGUUAAUUUGUUGUGUAUGGAUUUGGCCUGCAUUUAUUUCAGUGUGCAGACAUUAUAUCCAGACUGAUUGUGUAUGCAUUAUUUUGUUGUAUGCUUUUGAUUCCAUGCUUUCUAUCUUGUAGAGUCACUGUGUGGCUUCAGUUUUGAAAGGAGCUGAUGGUUUACCUGCUUUUAUAUAUCCUUAUUCAAUAAAGGAAGAUCAUGUCA